GAAAAAAUUCCAUCCAGCCCCGGGGAGGAGGGAGCGGGGCGGGGAGGCCGGGCCGGGGAGCGUGACGCAGGGAGGAGGGAAGGGACAAAAGGGGCCGGGAGGCGGUAGGGUGAGCCGGCAGCGCUCCCGCUCCUCCCUCCCUCCUCCCUCGGCCGGGGCCAGUUCUCUACUCUCCGCUUUCUUUCGUACCCUCCACCUCUCCUCCCUUUCCUUCACUCUGCCGGCCUCCUCCUGGCCCUGUGCUCCCCCCACCCCACCCCCCGCCCCCGUGUCUCCGUCUCCGCGUCUCUCUUUCUCCUUACAUCACGCCCACCCCCUCCACCCCAAUCAGGGUCUUCUCCUCUCCUCGCUCUGUCUCCCCCUUUCUGCUCUCCCAGCCUCCUUCCCCUCCCUCCGCUUCGGUCCCUCCACCCGCCCACCCACUGGGGGACAGAAAGGUGAAUCAGACCCAGAUCUGCCCUUGCAGACCGAGCUCACAGUCUGAUGGAGGAGACAGACCCAGACGCAGACAGUUCCAAUCCUGGGCGAUCGGGCCAUACAGCAUGACACACAGAAGCUUACUCCCUGACCAGAGAUUGAACCCGAGCCCCCCAGCACGGAAGCUCAGAGUUCUAACCACUGGACCACCAGUAAAUUCCCUUGGAAGACACAGUGAGAGACUGGCUGUCUGCAAGCCAGGAAACACCGCCUCACCAGGGAACUGAAUCAACCAGCCCCUUGCUCUUGGACUUUUCAGCCUCCAGGACUGUGAGAAAUAAAUUCCUUUUGGUUUAAGCCUCCCAGAUUUGGUAUUUCAUUAUGAUAGCCUGAACCGACUAAGACACUGGUCCUUAUUUCGUUCUACAGCAGGUUUUGGUCACUUUUAUUGUAUAUUAAUGGGCAUCAGAGAAGGACUUGCUAAAAAACACGAACAUAUGUCAGCAAGUUUCCCAGAAGUCCGUGGAAGGGUUGUGAGCUGCGAAAUUGAAGGCAAGUCUUGUGGGGAGGGGUGGGGCAGUUGGUACUCAUAGGUAUGGGUGCGCGGGCCUGGCGGUGAGGGGCAAGGUUAUGUUAGGCACAUGCGAGAUCAUUCCAGCUCCAGUUGACCUGACCGGGAAAACAGAGUGUUGACUCACUUAACUUGAAGAUCUCUGAAGUAUACGGGCUCGGGCUUCCUGAGGGCUCAGCGGGUAAAGAUACCACCUGCCAUGCAGGAGACACAGAAGACCCAGGUUUGAUCCCUGGGUCAGGAAGAUCCUCUGGAGUAGGAAGUGGC
This is a long non-coding RNA of Bos taurus (domestic cattle), 1255 nucleotides long. The record is from Ensembl. Lineage: Eukaryota; Metazoa; Chordata; Mammalia; Artiodactyla; Bovidae.